UUGCACGAUCUCCCGGGCUUCUCUGACUGGUUUUGAUUGAAGAAGAACGCCCCAAUGUUCGUGCUAGAUCGCGACGCCGUUCAGUGUUGCAGUUUAGCCUUUGUACCUUUCUGUUCCAUGGCUGAAUUUGUGUCAAUUUGACGGCUACAUUC
Diospyros lotus (date-plum) is the source of this 152-nucleotide small nucleolar RNA. RefSeq annotates it as small nucleolar RNA snoR134. The transcript has a single exon. NCBI's taxonomy places the organism in Eukaryota, Viridiplantae, Streptophyta, Magnoliopsida, Ericales, Ebenaceae. The record is from RefSeq and is a predicted model, not a curated record.